Molecule: long non-coding RNA, 1292 nt
Organism: Sapajus apella (tufted capuchin)
Lineage: Eukaryota; Metazoa; Chordata; Mammalia; Primates; Cebidae
Exons: 2
Source: RefSeq, a predicted model, not a curated record
GACUUAUUUUGUAAUGAUUAUGAUCAGACUCAUAAUGUGUCUGCUAUUUGGUGUAAUACUGGUGUAUUUGGUAUUACAAAUACAUUUGAUGGGUUCUGAUAUGGUUUGGAUGUAUGUUCUCUGCAGAUCUCAAGUUGAAAUGUGACCUACAACGUUGGAGGUGGGGCCUAGUCAGACGUCUUCGGGUCAUGGGGAUGGAUCCCUCAUGAAUGGGUUGGUGCUUUCCUCGUAGUAGUGAGUUCUCACUGAGUUCAUGCAAGAUUUGGUUGUUCAGAAAAGGCUGGCACCUCUUCUCUACCUCUCUUGCUCCCUACCUCACCAUGUGACACACUGGCCCUCCUUCACUUUCUGCCCUAAUUGUAAACUUCCUGAGGCCCUCACCAAAAGCAGAUACUGGCACUUUCCUUCAUGUACUAUCUGCAGAACUGUGAGCCAAAUAUAUCUCCCUUUUUUUUUUUUUCUCAAUUACCCAAUCUCAGGUAUUCCUUUAUGGCAUCACAAACUAGCUAACACAUUUGAAAUAAAACUUAUGACAGUACUGAUAUAGAUUAUAAAAUGAAGUGAGAAACGGAAUUAAAACAACCACAAGAUGUUCUAUCCAUGGAAAAUAUUGGCUAGGAGAGGAACUAGAAUUAACUUUGAAUUGAAUAAGUCUAUUGAUACCAUUCUUAAAGUUGAUGACAGAAGGAGGUAAAAUAGUUGCCAAUCUUGUGCAUGAUUAUGAACAUCUUUGUGCUGGGCUAUUUUGUUUUUGGCAAUAUUUUGAAGCAAUAUCCACAUCUCAUAUAAUACACAAAGUAUUUUGACAGCUGCCCUUUUUGCUUAUUCUGUCCCAUAAAUAGUUAAACUGAUACAGGGGAAUGUUAAGAAGGAAAAUACUUUAUAGCUGGAAUAGGACAAUUCUUUGCUUAACUCUGGGGAUAUCUGGAUAUCUAGUUUGACUCUUGGCAAAGAAAGGCAGUGGGAGCUACAAUGUGCUGCUUAAACUCUGAAAUCAUUUCAUGUCUUUACAGCUGGCUUUUACCUGGCAUAAAUGGCUAGGCUGGCUUGGGUCACACAGCCAAAGGGACAUAAUAGUCUCUACUGGGAAUUUCUGUUAUUAAUUCUUCCGAAAUCAAGCUCCAUUACAUAGGUAUUAGUGGCACAGUCCAAAGAUGAAGCAUGUCCAUUUGCGAAUAAGGAUCCUGAAGGUCAUGUGUCCAGAUCUUUCUAAGCCCUGAUAUUGGCCUGUUCUGUCUUUCUCUAGCUGUACUGUGCGCUUCAUAUUUAAAUAUAAGCCUUACAAGAGAGUG